GCUGGGCAUGGUGGCAGAUGCCUGUAAUCCCAGCUACUCAGGAGGCUGAGGCAGGAGAAUUGCUUGAACUCAGGAGGCAGAGGUUGCAGUGAGCCAAGAUCACGCCACUGCACUCCCACCUGGGUGACAAAGUGAGACUCUGUCUCCC
This 148-nucleotide non-coding RNA is filed under the name Pan paniscus (pygmy chimpanzee). RNAcentral also lists the same sequence under 1 other name. The record is from Rfam by way of RNAcentral. Lineage: Eukaryota; Metazoa; Chordata; Mammalia; Primates; Hominidae.